CUAAUAGGUCAGCUUGGCAGCUCAUGGACCGGCUGCUAGGAAACAGGUCGCAACCCCACGUACAAUGGAUCUAAUAGCGGAUGGUGUUUUCCCAUAUUUGGGGUGCCUCGACAGCUGGCAUCUUCAUCUAUCCGUCUACUGUCACUUCUGGCAGUUGGAAGGCCCUUUUAGGAUUGCUCUAGUAUCUCCCAGAAUAGGUACCAGCAAAACAAUCAGCGUUGGAUUUGUCG
Pelobates cultripes (western spadefoot toad) is the source of this 230-nucleotide non-coding RNA. NCBI's taxonomy places the organism in Eukaryota, Metazoa, Chordata, Amphibia, Anura, Pelobatidae. The record is from the annotation of a GenBank genome assembly.